This 405-nucleotide ribosomal RNA is filed under the name uncultured prokaryote. RNAcentral's name for it is "bacterial SSU rRNA". It matches the Rfam family "Bacterial small subunit ribosomal RNA", at positions 355 to 774 of the family's 1533-position model. The record is from RNAcentral.
UUAGGAAUAUUGCGCAAUGGGCGAAAGCCUGACGCAGCGACGCCGCGUGGGUGAGGAAGGCCUUCGGGUUGUAAAGCCCUUUUAGCGGGGACGAAAUAAAUGACGGUACCCGCAGAAAAAGUACCUGCUAACUCCGUGCCAGCAGCAGCGGUAAUACGGAGGGUGCGAGCGUUAUUCGGAUUCACUGGGCGUAAAGCGCAUGUAGGCGGUUUGGUAAGUCUGAUGUGAAAGCCCCCGGCUCAAUCGGGGAAGUGCAUUGGAUACUGCCAGACUUGAGUACGGGAGAGGAGGACGGAAUUCCCGGUGUAGAGGUGAAAUUCGUAGAUAUCGGGAGGAACAACAGAGGCGAAGGCGGUUCUCUGGACCGUAACUGACGCUGAGGUGCGAAAGCGUGGGGAGCAAACA